GGCGGAAGAGAGCAGGGCCCUGGGCAGGUGCUGAGCCAGGUCCUGCAGGUCACCCAGUCGCUUGAGUCCACGAAUGCUGGAGGCAGGCACUGGAGAGCCAGGGUGGUUCAGCCGCAGCUCCUCUGAGCAGGGAGUCAAACAGGGCUGAAACAGACACCAGCUCUCCAGGACCAGCUGCUCCAGGAAUCAACCUCUACCCUGAACCAGGUCCCUGAGGACCACCACGUGGCUGCAACACAGCAGGAGUUCACAGUCCAGAGGAGAAGCCCGAUGCUGAACAGAGAAUCACAUCCGUGAGCAACACAAAAGGCAAGGCAAACCCUGGGCAGAUGCCCCCGGGACUGUGUGUUAUGGGCCUACAGGAAGCCUCUCCCAAUGAAAAAGCAAUUUUUCAGCCAGAACCUCCACCAGUGUCUUUCAAACUGUGAGUGGCAACCCAUUUGUGGGUCAUAAAAUCAAUUUAGUAGUUGUGACCUGAAUUACUUGUUAGUGAAAUAGAGAGGAAUUUACAACAUCACACUUAGGAAAUACUGUUUUGUGAAAUGUUAGUUUCAGUUAUCUAUCUAUCUAUCUGUCUGUCUGAGAGAUCAUGUUUAUUAGUUAAGAUAUUAAAUGUAUUUCUUACUGCAGGUCUCAAUCAAAAACCUCUGAAAGCCACUGGCCUAGAGUUAGAGGAAGAGUUAGCCAUGAGAAAUGGUGGUGACACAGGUUCCAAAAGAAGAAACAAUAGGUAUCAGGCUCAGAGAUGAAAGGGCUAGAAGGAGGACACACCAAGUUCAAGGAGCCUGGACCUGUGGCCUUCCCUGCCUCCACCUGGGCCUCAACCGUCACGACCACCUGGCCUUUGAGGUCUCAUAGAACUCAUCCCCAAAAGUCCUUGUGAAGAUUUAGUUUGUAAGCCAGAUGUCUGCAGACCUCCAGUAAAAGAAUAUGUUUUUGGUAUUAGUAUAAAUCAAAUGGCUCACGCUGUGUCUCAGAGCUGCAACGAUCCAACGCCCUCCAUCCUUCAGAGGCUGUCUGAGUCCGGGGACACAACUCCCACCCUCCUCUCCUGCCAGCCGCGGCCCGUGGCUGCUCUCUUCACUUCGUCCCGCUUCGCCCCGACUGUGGAUCUACCCGCUCCCUUCUCCCUCAGUCCCCAAAGCACCAGACUCACAGGCCUGCUGUGUGACCCACUUUUACCGACCUUUCGGGGAGAGUAGAGGGCAUUUGUGACUCAGCUCAGAGCAGGAAACACAUCUCACGUCAACUGUCAGACAGCGCUGCUCCGAAUCCCAUCACAGUGCUCCAGCAGGGGGCGUCCUCACCGGCCGCGGCCACAGCCACGGCUCAACCCGGCCUAGCUCCCAGACACCCUCCUUCCACCGCCUGUUUUCCACCGUCCCCGCCUGCUCUUUCAAGCCAGCAGCAAACAACACCCUAAUCCGUGUCUUUAUUAUUCAAAGACCUUAAGCACUCUUUCCCACCUCGUUCCCAUCUUGAUUAUUUCAGGGAAUGAAUUAGGGAUUCACCUUUACAAUCAAAAAAGUUCUCUCAAAGCCAGGCUACUGGAGUUCUAAUUCUGCCUUCCCACUUUUACUAGCUGUGAAAUCUCAGGAAAGUUACUUAACCUCUCUCUGUCUCAUUUUCCUCAUCUUUAAAAAACAGGAUGAUAAUAUUUAGCUCCUAAGAUGGUUGUGAGGAUUUAAGUGAGCUGAUAUAUCCAAGAAUGUCUAGAACAGCGCGUGGCAGAAUGGGCAUUGCAUAUGGGUUUAAUCUUGUAACUGCCAUGUUUCACCAAUUCUAAGGUGUAUCUCGUUUCUCAUCAUAAGAGCUCUUCCGCUCGUGUGGCAGCUGGGAGUGGCCGUCAUUGCCUGCGCAUACCUAAACUUGGUCAGCAGCCAAGUGUUUUGUGAGACCUAAGAAAGGAAGAGCCCCAUAAGUAAAUGGAACUGUUGUGUUGUUUUAUUACCGAGAAAAGGGCAGAAUGAUUGCUAGUCACACGUGAAGCAAGAAAACCCCGGCAAUAAAGCUUGCAGAAUGAGUGGCUGAGGCUUGAAAAUAAAUGGUGGAAACAAUAGUGGACAAUCUUUUAAAGAAUGGCACAUUGCCAAUGCUCCUGAUGGCACAGAAGGUGACACCAUGCAGAAAAUCAAGGCUCUGAGUCAAAGAGGGUUUCAGAAAAAUUGGACUCUGAAUGUGAAGAAAUCUGGGGACUAUUUUAGCCAAUUUGUUUUGCCUAUAAUUUCCUUUUAUGCAUGCAAAAGAGCAAUUCUGACUUUAAAGACUGAUAUCUAAAUAAAUCUAAAAUAUCUUUUUUGUGUGUGUGUCUGUGAUACAGUGUCUCGCCCUUUCACCCAGGCUGGAGUGCAGUAGUGCAAUCUCAGCUCACU
RNAcentral lists this long non-coding RNA (2372 nucleotides) under Homo sapiens (human). RNAcentral's name for it is "HSALNT0188854". The record is from RNAcentral. Lineage: Eukaryota; Metazoa; Chordata; Mammalia; Primates; Hominidae.